AAAAUCGAUGGGGUUUGUGUUUCGGCCACGAAUGAGGCUGAAGGCCCGAUUUUUAU
This 56-nucleotide transfer RNA is filed under the name Khawia sinensis. RNAcentral's name for it is "tRNA-Arg". Lineage: Eukaryota; Metazoa; Platyhelminthes; Cestoda; Caryophyllidea; Lytocestidae. The record is from RNAcentral.